Molecule: long non-coding RNA, 855 nt
Filed under: Homo sapiens (human)
Lineage: Eukaryota; Metazoa; Chordata; Mammalia; Primates; Hominidae
Description: p53 upregulated regulator of p53 levels
Source: RNAcentral
AUUCAUGCCUUGCAAAGGGGAGGAGCCUGCCCUCUUGAGCUCUUGUGGUGACCUGGGAAUCAAUGUGUGAGGUGGUGCUAUGUAGCAGGAACCCCUCUUGCUUUGCAAAUAGUUUUUUGUUUGUUUUCCUUUUUGCCCAAUAGAGCCCUGCUCUACUGACCCUUCAAUGUGCCCGUGUGCCUAAAUAUUCCUGGUCGUGUGAAAAGAACCCAGGUAUUAGCUGAACUAAGGAGCACAAUUCUGCAACAUUUUGGCACCCAAACACGGGGCUUGAGAAAUGAAUGCAAUUGGAGAAACUGGUUGUUUUACCAGGCGUUGAUUGGAAAUGUGUGCUUCCCUUUAAGCAGUCAAGCUCAACUUGCAGAACUGAUGGGAACCCCUUGGGAAAACUGGCCUCAAAUGUUUGUCUACACAGUCCACAUACAGGGUUCUUAACCUGCGACUGACCCUGCUUGUGCCUGUGAACCAACCAACAAUCUCUGGCUGCAGCUCAGAAAGGACAAAAGAGAAUGGUGGACUGGAGCCCAAAAUGCACACUGGAGGAAGUGGAUGGAGCCACGUGGAUGUCAUGCCUUAUGCAGGGGAGGAGCCUGCUCUCUUCAGCUCCUGUGGUAAUGUGGGAAUCGAUCUGUGAGGAAACACUUUCUGAAAAUGUCAGAACUCUUGAAAACAUGGAUGAGGAAAAGCAUAAGUACUGCUUUAUGCUUUUCUUAUGAAUUUUAAAAGAUGUAAUUUAAAGGUACUUUAAAGUGAUAUUUGUGCCCUUGUAACUGAUUCAAAGUAGACUGCUAAGGACAAUAAGUAAUAAGAGUCUACAAAUAUCAGUAAAUUAUGAGAAAAAACGGUCUAAUGGUA